Molecule: long non-coding RNA, 2212 nt
Organism: Gasterosteus aculeatus aculeatus (three-spined stickleback)
Lineage: Eukaryota; Metazoa; Chordata; Actinopteri; Perciformes; Gasterosteidae
Source: Ensembl
CAAAGGCUAGCUAGCAAACUAAAGACAUGACAGAUUUUCUCUGGCUGUCUUAGCCACUUGUCAGCAGUUGUUAGGUCCUGUUAUUACUAGUGCAAUGCUAGCGCCAUGCCUGCCCCGCCGUAAUGUUUGAUCCCCGCCGCCUGUAUCAUCCCCCCCGUCAUAAUGUCUGCACCCCGCCGUAAUGUUAUACGAUUGUAUAAGGGAGCACUACGUCACAGCCACGUAUGAAAACAUUUAAGAAAAUAUAUUAAAAGGGAAGAUCGGAACAACUGAUUCGAACGUGGGUCAAAAACACAUUCAGCGAGCUGCCUCAAACCGUGCGCCACAGAGCAUCACCAAGUGGUCUUGCCGUUUUGUAUAAUUUAUCUAUUAAGUUGAAGCAGAACGGGAUGGAUAGAGGAAAUCACCUGGUGUAGGGGACCCCCUGUAUUGGCUACCCCCUGGGUUGAAUGCACUCAUUGUAAGUCGCUUUGGAUAAAAGCAUUAGCUAAAUGAAAAAUGUUAAACUAAGUUAAAGAUGAGCAGCGGCAUCAUCUUGCCAAGGUUGUGUUGACACCACAAGAGUUUCAUUUCUGACCGUGACAUUGGAGCUCACUGUGACAAGACCAUGGACGCAAUGCUUCAACUAUACUACUGGCCUGGCAUGAAGGCCGAGAACGAGAAAUGGUUGGGUGUUACGACUUUAUUCUGGGGAGCCUGUGGUAAUAUUUAAACAUUCAAUCUCAGUGUUUUUCGAUUGAAAAUGUUUAGAUUCGCCAAUGUGAUGCCUGCCAAAAGAAGAGGACCUGGUUUUCAAUACAUUUGUGUGAUGGUGGACUAUUUCAUAAGUGGCUUGAGGUAUACCCGCUGAAAACCAAGAAAUAGCCGUGUGUGUAAUUGAUUGCUUCUAUAAAUAUGGCGCCCCAGAGCCUAUCCUCACCAACCGUGGAAAGGAAUUUUGAGGCAAGUAAUUGUACUGUAUUCAUGGUCACAUUAACAAUGGAAAAAUCCUCAUGGUAUUCCAAAUAAGUUGCCCUCUUGGGCAUUUUCAAGAUGAAUACAGAGUUGUGCCAGAAACUUUGACCAUUGACAGAAGCCUCUGUGCUCCAUACCACCCUCAAACCAAUGGCUUGGUUGAAAAACUCAAAUGGCACAAAUCAAGGAGUUUUGAAAAAAUGGUCUAGGAUCACCCAGGUGACUGGGACCAAUACAUUAAGUCCAGUGUUUGGCCUAAGAACUAAAAAACAGCAGACUACAAAGUACUCCCCAUAUAUCUUUAUGUAUGGGAGGGAAACUCUGUAUCCUUCCGAAAUACCAGUCGAGUGGCAGACAUCUGAGGACCAUAUUGGUGCUCACCAGGAAGCUUUCAGGAGGAUAUCGAGAAAAUCGACCAUCUCUCAGAAAAUAUGUGUAACCUGAAGAUCAAAUUCCAGGCAAAUGGAUGUCAGCGGCUUCUACUCCACCUCUGCAGUCCAGCCCGUUGUGUUUUGUUCCACAAUCUCCUCUUGCUGACAAGCAAACAACUCCCCAACCUGUCUCCUUGACCUCCACUCCCCAGAGGAACGCAAUCAUGGCUGACAUCUGGGCGGGUAAACGCCGAGGUGUGCUGUGGAGCAAAGUGGGGCCUUAUAAAAUAUUUGCCGCGGACAUGCAGAACUUGGCCCCCGGAAGGGAAAUAGAGAGCGGUACAGGCGAGCAUUCAUGAGAAAUAAAAAUAUCCAUGUUUCAAGAUGGAAUUGUUCAACCUGGAGUUGUUGAGCCACCCAAGACAGCAAGCCUCAACAUCCUGUGGGGCAAUUGUCUUCAAGAUCCAGUGCUCAACACGCACUCUGUGGUUCCACUGGAUUUGCCCCUGGGAAACUACCUCUGGAGCAGCUAACUUCUGCUGUCCAGCAUGUUUUCUUUAGAGAUACUUUUGUUUUUCAAUGAUUUAUGACUGUUAAAACAUUUAAUAAACUGUCCUUUGAGAACUUCAUGAGAUUUGAUUCCUAAUAGAAUGUACAAUCUGUCUCCCUCAAUUCCUUGACUUUUUGUUGGUGCAUCGCUUUUGUUCGGAAAGAUGUAUGGCCUCAUGGUGCUUUUAUAGGGACGCUGCUUAUUAACUUUAAUUGGGUGACAAUUAAGAAUGAAUAUAUUUUUUUGGGAUGUGGUCCAAGACACCUCCAAGGUAACGAGUUGUUUCAGGUACCCUAUACCAGGUUUCCUCCAUACCGAUGUGAUUGCAUUAAUAGAC